RNAcentral lists this ribosomal RNA (292 nucleotides) under uncultured bacterium. RNAcentral's name for it is "partial 16S ribosomal RNA". It matches the Rfam family "Bacterial small subunit ribosomal RNA", at positions 505 to 796 of the family's 1533-position model. The record is from RNAcentral.
GUGCCAGCCGCCGCGGUAAGACAGAGGUGCCAAGCGUUAGGCGGAAUCACUGGGCUUAAAGCGUGUGUAGGCGGCCUUCUAAGUGCUUUGUGAAAUCCCACGGCUCAACCGUGGAAUGGCUUGGCAUACUGGGAGGCUUGAGCCAUCUAGGGGCAACUGGAACAAACGGUGGAGCGGUGAAAUGCGUAGAUAUCGUUUGGAACGCCAAUGGUGAAAACAGGUUGCUGGGGAUGUGCUGACGCUGAGACACGAAAGCCAGGGGAGCAAACGGGAUUAGAAACCCCAGUAGUCC